This 706-nucleotide long non-coding RNA is filed under the name Struthio camelus australis. RNAcentral describes it as "lncRNA (ENSSCUG00000010738.1)". The record is from RNAcentral. Lineage: Eukaryota; Metazoa; Chordata; Aves; Struthioniformes; Struthionidae.
GUCAUUUUUUGCUUUAGGUGGAAGAUGCUUCAGAAAAUUAGAAAAAAAAAAAAACACCCAAGAUAAAAUCCCAUAUGUGAUCGCUAUCCUUCAGCCUUCGGACCAAAUAUUGCUAUUCACUGAUAUAAAACUUUCUCCUGUUUUAGGCAGAAUCCUGACUCAAAGAUUCCUAUUUGGAGCAGAGCUAUUAGGGAUCAGCUGUGAGAGGCAUCAGACCCACAGCAGAAUUUGAGAGAUUCCGUCACAGACAUUGGAAAGAGCAAGCUUGGGCUCUGUCAUAAGUAAUACAUUCUUUUACCUUUUUUUAGCAUUGAGAGUGGCCAAAACCCAAGGAAUUUCACUGUUUAGCACUGAUAGCUAAUGUCCAUGCAAUCUGUGGAAUAUUUUAAUGUUUUCUCUCGGGCCUUCUUUUUCGAGAGCUGAAAAAGUCUUCAGGGCUUGGGAGCCAGCACAGUGAUAUAUGCUGCAUGUCUGUCAGAAAAAUCCAGCAUCUGCUGAACUGAAAGCAGUGGUGACCACACAGGGAGGAUGCUGUCUUCGACCCCCUCAUCUUCAUUCAGGUUUGAACAUUAACUGCAUACAGCCAAGAAAGAAUAUGAAUAUACAGACAGGAAAACUACUGCUUAAUUACUAUGCAAGCUGCUUAGCGCCCAGAGUCAUUGCAUUUUUCAAAGGGACUCUUAAAAUACUGCAUCAGUACAAGUGA